UACGUAGGUGGCGAGCGUUGUCCGGAUUUACUGGGCGUAAAGGAUGCGUAGGUGGAAAUUUAAGUGGGAUGUGAAAUCCCCGGGCUCAACCCGGGAACUGCAUUCCAAACUGGAUUUCUUGAGUACAGGAGAGGAAAGCGGAAUUCCUAGUGUAGCGGUGAAAUGCGUAGAUAUUAGGAGGAACACCAGUGGCGAAGGCGGCUUUCUGGACUGUAACUGACACUGAGGCAUGAAAGCGUGGGUAGCAAACAGGAUUAGAUACCCCCGUAGUCCCCUGAGCGGG
Molecule: ribosomal RNA, 283 nt
Filed under: uncultured prokaryote
Description: partial 16S ribosomal RNA
Rfam family: Bacterial small subunit ribosomal RNA
Source: RNAcentral